GUGCGUUACGCAUCUCCUCUAUCUCCUAAAUCACCGCCUCCUCUUCCCGCAAUCUCUCACCCCCUCCCCGCCAAUUACGCCCGUCUCCUCUAUCCCAAAUCCCAACCCCGCAGCGGAGAUAGUCCUGCCGUCGCUCCAUGCCGCCGCGACGAACGGCAUCGAAGCACGUCCCGCCCUAGCUUCAUGCCGCCGCGAAGUACAGGUGGUGCUCGGGGUCUUUCCACGGGUGAACUGUCGCAGCAGAUCGAGAACGCCAUCCUCUUCUUGAAUUUUGCUGACCGAUCCAUUCCCGCGUCCAAGCCCAACGUCAUCCUCUUCUUGUACUUUGCCGAUCGAUCUGACCCCGCGUCCAAUCACGGAGUCCCGUGGACCGUCUCGAACUUGUAACCAACCCCACUCGCCCCAAUGGACGAUGAUGUGCCCAUGGAGGAUAGGUAUUGCUUCAUCUUCUGGUAUGUAUCCGAUUUGAGCUGUAAUUUCUGUCCAGCUACAAUAUCAUUCUCGUCUUAGGCUAACCCUAUUUCUCCCAGCACUCGCUGAUUGCAGUAUCCCGGAUUACCUGACACCGUGAAGCUGGAGCCUCAUCCGCAGCCAAUAUAAGUGGGUCCUUGUUGGGUGACCAUUUUAGUGCCCAUCGUUGAAUACCUCUCUCUAUUAUAUCUUCAAAUUGUUGCCGGUUUCAGAAGUACAGUGCAGAGUUCGUCUAAGCAUGUUGCAUGCUCUUAUAUUUUGAGAGAGAGCAAGAUAUUUGUGUCUACGUUGUUGUUUCAGUUCAUGACAUUGCUGCUACAAUGAUGACGUUGCUGCUCAUGUUAUAUUUAUUUGACGACUGAUUUGCUGCUUGUUUGUUGCUCCACGCAAUGUAUAUGUCAAGUGAUUCAGAUGAUGAUACAGACAUUAUGUUUUGUGGUUUUGUAUUAGACAAUGCACUGCUCAUUUUUCCCCAUUGUAUUUUAGUUGCUCUUGAUGUUGCUAAAUCUUAGUUAUUUACUCCUAAUACUUAUAUGUUGACUUUCAGGUUGUUCCCUGCCCGUCUCACAUAAACAACCAUUCUCCCUUCUAUGAAUAAGCAUAGUCAUGUG
RNAcentral lists this long non-coding RNA (1082 nucleotides) under Triticum aestivum (bread wheat). Its description in RNAcentral is "long non-coding RNA (TAES_LNC022076)". The record is from RNAcentral. Lineage: Eukaryota; Viridiplantae; Streptophyta; Magnoliopsida; Poales; Poaceae.